Molecule: transfer RNA, 70 nt
Filed under: Ictidomys tridecemlineatus (thirteen-lined ground squirrel)
Lineage: Eukaryota; Metazoa; Chordata; Mammalia; Rodentia; Sciuridae
Description: Spermophilus tridecemlineatus (thirteen-lined ground squirrel) tRNA
Rfam family: tRNA
About the family: Transfer RNA (tRNA) molecules are approximately 80 nucleotides in length. Their secondary structure includes four short double-helical elements and three loops (D, anti-codon, and T loops).
Source: Rfam by way of RNAcentral
GGGGAUGUGGCUCAAGAGGUAGGGCACUCGCCUAGCAUGCGUGAGGCACUGGGUUAAAUUCUCAGCACCA